RNAcentral lists this long non-coding RNA (1390 nucleotides) under Salmo salar (Atlantic salmon). RNAcentral describes it as "lncRNA (ENSSSAG00000112220.1)". The record is from RNAcentral. Lineage: Eukaryota; Metazoa; Chordata; Actinopteri; Salmoniformes; Salmonidae.
CCCAGUCAAAACUGUUCGCUGCUCUGGCACCCCAAUGGUGGAACAAGCUCCCUCACGACGCCAGGACAGCGGAGUCAAUCACCACCUUCCGGAGACACCUGAAACCCCACCUCUUCAAGGAAUACCUGGGAUAGGAUAAGUUUUGUGAUAUCCAAAUGGUAGUUACAUUCUUGUCCCAUCGCUGCAACUCCUAUACGGACUCAGGAGAGGCGAAGGUCGAGAUCCAUGCAUGCGGGCAGUGCAGUUGCCAUACCAGGCGGUGAUACAGCCUGACUAGAUGCUCUCAAUUGUGCAUCUGUAACAUUCCUGACAAACUCAGUCAACGUGCCCAUGUCAGCAUCAAUGUUAUUCUCAGAGGCUCCCCGGAACACAUCCCAGUCCGUGUGACCAAAACAAUUUUGAAGCAUGGAUUCCAAUUGAUCAGACCAGUGUUGAAUAGACCUUAGCACAGGUACUUCCUGUUUGAGUUUCUGCCUAUAGGAAGAGAGGAGCAAAAUGGAGUCAUGAUCUGAUUUGCCGAAGGGAGGGCCUUGUAGGCAUCUCGAAAAGAGAGUUCGCAUUCCUGUCUGUGUGAUGAACUGAAAACCCAGCUGGCUGUAUUGACAGGUACAUUAUAUUCUGAGAUAGCUGUGAUUCCAUGAAACAGAGUACGUUACAGUCCCUGAUGUCUCUCUGGAAGGAGAUCCUCGCCCUGAGCUCCAAAGACUGAACAUUAGCGAGUAAUAUACUCAGAAACGGUGGAUGGUGUGCCCGCCUCCUGGGUCGGACUAGAUGUCCACUCCGAAUACCUCUACUCCUCCGGCGGUGAUUUGGAGCAGCCUCUGGGAUGAGUUCAAUUGCCCUGGGGGGUACGAACAAAGGAUCCAAUUUCGGAAAGUUGUAUUCCUGGUUGUAAUGCUGGCAGUUUCCAAGGAGCUUCCAGUUCUGGCUGCGGCACAAACACAAUUUCCGUAAUGUCGUUUACCCGUGGCGAGAAGUCCCGGCUGUCAGCACCACCUCAACCCAGCAAGGGGAAAUAGUAGGCGACACAUGACAGAUUCUUAGGCCACAGCCCUGCAGCCCUCCAACCCCAGUGACCCGCUCCCUUUUAGGGACAGCCUUGAAAGAUCACCCGUCAUUGUGUCUUGUAUGGGGACCACGGCUAAGAAGGAUCAAGGUCUGCUUGUUACUCUGACCCAGUGAUCAAGAAUGGACAACGCAACACAUUAUAACAACCCCCCUCUCCAGCCAGCUAACCAACUUCUCAAAAAAAAGAAAGGAGAAAAAAAUUAACACAUGGCAUAACUAAACUCAACCAACUACAUGAAAGACCCAUUUUUGGGACCCCGUUGUCACGCCCUGACCAUAGAGAGCCUUUUAUUCUCUAUGUUGGUUAGGUCGGGGUGUGACU